UCUGGUGGCUAUUGCAAGAAGGUCCCACCCGAUCCCAUUCCGAACUCGGACGUGAAACUUCUUCGCGCCAAUGGUACUUCAGCUUAAGCUGCGGUAGAGUAGGUCACUGCCAGAU
Molecule: ribosomal RNA, 115 nt
Filed under: Alphaproteobacteria bacterium
Lineage: Bacteria; Pseudomonadati; Pseudomonadota; Alphaproteobacteria
Source: RNAcentral